AACGAACGCUGGCGGCAUGCCUAACACAUGCAAGUCGAACGAGACCUUCGGGUCUAGUGGCGCACGGGUGCGUAACGCGUGGGAACCUGCUCUUAGGUUCGGAAUAACUCCCCGAAAGGGGUGCUAAUACCGGAUAAUGUCUUCGGACCAAAGAUUUAUCGCCUUUGGAUGGGCCCGCGUUGUAUUAGCUAGUUGGUAGGGUAAAAGCCUACCAAGGGGACGAUCCAUAGCUGGUCUGAGAGGAUGAUCAGCCACACUGGGACUGAGACACGGCCCAGACUCCUACGGAAGGCAGCAGUGGGGAAUAUUGGACAAUGGGCGAAAGCCUGAUCCAGCAAUGCCGCGUGAGUGAUGAAGGCCUUAGGGUUGUAAAGCUCUUUUACCCGGGAUGAUAAUGACAGUACCGGGAGAAUAAGCUACGGCUAACUCCGUG
This 433-nucleotide ribosomal RNA is filed under the name uncultured bacterium. RNAcentral describes it as "partial 16S ribosomal RNA". It matches the Rfam family "Bacterial small subunit ribosomal RNA", at positions 29 to 507 of the family's 1533-position model. The record is from RNAcentral.